Cotesia glomerata is the source of this 246-nucleotide long non-coding RNA. RefSeq lists it as uncharacterized. The record is from RefSeq and is a predicted model, not a curated record. The transcript has 3 exons. Lineage: Eukaryota; Metazoa; Arthropoda; Insecta; Hymenoptera; Braconidae.
AUAACUCAAUAUUAUUGUUAUGGCUCAAACAGGUCUUACGGCUGUACCUCCCCGCAUGGGCCCCGCUGGUAACUGGUCGGGUUGUCAUUAUAUUACCGAUCAGGCUAACGCAGUCGUUGAAUGGGUUGAUACAGUUAACUGAGUACGAGGACAGAUUGACAUUAAAUUCAACUCAAUUCACAUCUGUCCUAUGAUAGCGUAAAUGCUUGAGGGCAGGGUUUUUCCUUGCCAGCAAACUUGGCUGUG